Molecule: long non-coding RNA, 214 nt
Filed under: Lathyrus oleraceus (garden pea)
Lineage: Eukaryota; Viridiplantae; Streptophyta; Magnoliopsida; Fabales; Fabaceae
Description: Pisum sativum (pea) long non-coding RNA (PSAT_LNC022824)
Source: RNAcentral
AAGGAAACCUCAGAGUAUUUUGCUUCUCUUCCUUUUUCCCUAGGGUUCUUCUCUCACUAUCUUUUUCCCAGACAGGGUAAUAGGAAUAGAAUAAAAUUUUGUUUCACUGAAACUCUGAAUUUAUAUUGGUAGCUUAGUGGGCUUUUGAGAGAGGUCAAAGUCUGAGAUUUUUUCUUUUAUUUAUUUAUUUAUUUAAUUAUUUUUUUUGUUUUUU